This 1314-nucleotide transfer RNA is filed under the name Piliocolobus tephrosceles (Ugandan red Colobus). RNAcentral's name for it is "lncRNA (ENSPTEG00000037309.1)". Lineage: Eukaryota; Metazoa; Chordata; Mammalia; Primates; Cercopithecidae. The record is from RNAcentral.
AAUGAAGGCUUCAUGAAACAGUGAUUGAACCCAGCACACUGGAGGAAGGAGGGAGCCAUGACAUAGAAGACUGGAACCAACACCAUGAAGCCAAAGCAUCACCCUGGCGUUGAUUACACCCUCAGACAGUCACAUGUUAAUCAAUUCUCCUGAGCGUUUUCAACAAAGUACCCGCAAAUUUCCAGAACAUGGAUUGAGAAAAACUUUGAGAUUCCAGCCUUAAUGACUGCUCCUCGUGGUCUCUCUCUCCAGUUAGACGAACCUGGGCUAGCAAUAUUCCGAAGAGUCAACAGUCAGCCCUGGUGCUAUAUACUUCCAUGGGAAUUCCAUACUUUCUCAAAACGCGUCAUCAUGCACUCGGCCGAACACGCACACGCAAGCGCGGACGAGCUGCCCACGGCCUUUCUUUCGGGGUUUGAGAAGAGAUGGACAGAGGUGGGAGAGCGCGCUGCAGCCGCAUCAACAUUCCGGUGUCUGCCCUUAGAGGAGGUCUGGGAUUCAGUACUUGCCUGCUUCGAAGACAAUUCUACUGUUCAUGUGGUGAAAGUACAUAUUUUUGGGUAUGAAUAUUUGGGGAAAUACUUUAAAAAUCCUUAAAGCUUAUUGGGCGAAAAUGAAGUGGGCUCGUCCGGGAUUUGAACCCGGGACCUCUCGCACCCGAAGCGAGAAUCAUACCCCUAGACCAACGAGCCACUUAGAAGUGAUCUUUGCGCAUAUUUACUGUAGGUUUUAUUCCCAAAUUAUUUAUUUUUAUUCUUCAAAGGAUUGGUUACCAAAUAAUAUUUAUCACUCCAUCAAUUAUUUACAUAAAUGAAAGGGUUGAAAAGGCUAUUUCUGUGGACGGUCUGCUGGUAGCUUAAAUUACCAUACCAAACUACCGUACAAGCUGGUAGCUUUAAUUACAAAUUAAAACUUGUAACCUGUAGAAACAUUUCUCCUUUAUUCUACUUUGCUAUACUACUCUAAGUAAUUUAACUCAUUUUUUUUUUCCAUUUUUAGCUUUCAAUUAAAAUGUUAGAAAAAUUUGAGUUUUCAAGUUUCCUUAUCUCACUUCCACCCUUUUUGAAAGUUGGAUAUUACUGUUACUGAGGGACUUCUAGAUUAUUUGCUCUAACAAGGAUUAUUUUCGCUACCAGAAAUUUUUCAGAAAGAAUAUUCCUAAUCUCAGCAAAAUUCUACUUAUAAGAGAUUUCUUAACGUCAGCUUUUCGGGGUACCAAGAUGUAUUUGGUUAGUUUACUAACUUCCUCUUACAUACAAAUUUAAGAAAGUUACAAAAACCUUUGGUUAAAUGCAAAGAAAGUUUUUACAACAG